This 29-nucleotide small RNA is filed under the name Bombyx mori (domestic silkworm). RNAcentral's name for it is "ovarian small RNA-9551". Lineage: Eukaryota; Metazoa; Arthropoda; Insecta; Lepidoptera; Bombycidae. The record is from RNAcentral.
UUCCAGAGGUAACGAUGCAUGCAAUCAGU